This 509-nucleotide small RNA is filed under the name uncultured Glomus. Its description in RNAcentral is "SSU rRNA". It matches the Rfam family "Eukaryotic small subunit ribosomal RNA", at positions 569 to 1079 of the family's 1831-position model. Lineage: Eukaryota; Fungi; Glomeromycota; Glomeromycetes; Glomerales; Glomeraceae. The record is from RNAcentral.
CGCAGCCGCGGUAAUUCCAGCUCCAAUAGCGUAUAUUAAAGUUGUUGCAGUUAAAAAAGCUCGUAGUUGAAUUUCGGGGUCAGUAGGUCGGUCGUGCCACAGGUAUGCACUGGUCUCACUGAUUCCUCCUUCCUGAUGAACCGGAAUGCCAUUAAUUUGGUGUUGCGGGGAGACUGGACUGUUACUUUGAAAAAUUAGAGUGUUUAAAGCAGGCAUGCGCUUGAAUACAUUAGCAUGGAAUAAUGAAAUAGGACGUUUGAUCCUAUUUUGUUGGUUUCUAGGAUUGACGUAAUGAUUAAUAGGGAUAGUUGGGGGCAUUAGUAUUCAAUUGUCAGAGGUGAAAUUCUUGGAUUUAUUGAAGACUAACUACUGCGAAAGCAUUUGCCAAGGAUGUUUUCAUUAAUCAAGAACGAAAGUUAGGGGAUCGAAGACGAUCAGAUACCGUCGUAGUCUUAACCAUAAACUAUGCCGACUAGGGAUCGGAUGAUGUUAAUUUUUAAUGUACUCAU